UAGUGGCGAACGGGUGAGUAACACGUGGGCAAUCUGCCCUUCACUCUGGGACAAGCCCUGGAAACGGGGUCUAAUACCGGAUACGACUACCGACCGCAUGGUCUGGUGGUGGAAAGCUCCGGCGGUGAAGGAUGAGCCCGCGGCCUAUCAGCUUGUUGGUGGGGUGAUGGCCUACCAAGGCGACGACGGGUAGCCGGCCUGAGAGGGCGACCGGCCACACUGGGACUGAGACACGGCCCAGACUCCUACGGGAGGCAGCAGUGGGGAAUAUUGCACAAUGGGCGAAAGCCUGAUGCAGCGACGCCGCGUGAGGGAUGACGGCCUUCGGGUUGUAAACCUCUUUCAGCAGGGAAGAAGCGAGAGUGACGGUACCUGCAGAAGAAGCGCCGGCUAACUACGUGCCAGCAGCCGCGGUAAUACGUAGGGCGCAAGCGUUGUCCGGAAUUAUUGGGCGUAAAGAGCUCGUAGGCGGCUUGUCACGUCGGAUGUGAAAGCCCGGGGCUUAACCCCGGGUCUGCAUUCGAUACGGGCAGGCUAGAGUUCGGUAGGGGAGAUCGGAAUUCCU
This 565-nucleotide ribosomal RNA is filed under the name Streptomyces nigrescens. Its description in RNAcentral is "partial 16S rRNA". It matches the Rfam family "Bacterial small subunit ribosomal RNA", at positions 93 to 671 of the family's 1533-position model. RNAcentral also lists the same sequence under 3 other names. Lineage: Bacteria; Bacillati; Actinomycetota; Actinomycetes; Kitasatosporales; Streptomycetaceae. The record is from RNAcentral.